GAUGACAUCUGCCACUCCCAUCCUCAUGCUAUUCUCUUUGAACCCCUGACUCAGCGAGCCCCAAUCCAAAAAAGCAGAACUAGCUAUUUUUCACACCAAGAGAAAAAUGUCAGGCAGUACACUUGCCGAACUCCUUCCUGACCCUGAAACUCUUAGUCUUUGCACUUAACCCCUUGCUCCUCCCGCUGCCUCUUUGCUCCUUUCUCUUCUAGAUGGCUAAGUUGCAAGCUCCACCACCGUCUCUAGUGAAGAUCCUGAAGGGAAAGGGUUGUUCUGCAGCCACAGAGUCUGGAAUACUGCCUGUUGCACAGAAGGUUCUCCGUAGGUGUCAGCAGAUGGGAACUGAAUCCAAAAUCCCGUGUCCACCCUAAAGUGGCCCUUUCUCCAGCAGGUCUGAGACAACGGCUGCUUGUUUAUUCACUCAUUCAACAAAUAUUUAUUGAGCACCUACUAGGAGCCAGAACUUCCGCGAGGGACUGGAGCUACGGGGAUGGCAAGAUCCCAGGGCUCCAUCCUGACGGAGACCACCUUCUUGUAGACCUAAUGUCGGAGUGAACCUUCUGGCAGAAACCUCCAGGGAAUGAGCCGGGAAGAACUCAGAGGGUCACGACAACAAAUUACAACGUCCAAGGCUUUACUCUUUACAAAGCAGGGCAGUGCACUGGGAAUCAGGCAGACAGCUAUCCAGUCUGAGACAGCACUGGACUGGGGCAGACCUGUCUCUGUAGAACCUGAUGCCUGGAGGAGCAGAAGAAAGUGUGUGCUGUCAGAGAGAAGAAAGGAGGGAAGGCACUGAGGUGAGCAUGCCCAGUUCCUUCUCCCAAACCCGCCAAUCAAUGAACUCCUCCUCCUGUGGGAAACUGUCAGAGAGGGGACCAAGAGCCGCUGAGAUGUUACUGUGAUGGGCCUCCUGCCACAUGGGAAUUUGAAGCCAGAGCAAAGAAGGUUCUCCAGCAACAGACACCACGAUGAAGAAUGAGGCAAAGUGAGGGCCUGGUCAAGGACCCCCAAACACAGCCUCUUGGCAAAGAAGAUGGCAGAAAGCAGAACUUGAUCUUAAGAGAAGGUUUACCUUCAAGUAUAGUUGCAACCAUACUGGUAUAACUCAGGUCACAUUAUAGGUAGAAAAACUGAGACUCCAGAGUAUUACUUCCAUGAUUGCGCCAAUCACCACAAUCGACAUCACCUGCCUUUGCCGAGAACACACCCCUCUCUGCUCAACAUCUGCCUUCUUGCCUGUGGCAGACAAGAUCUGCAUCACCGAAAAAGCGGGGCAUCAAGUGGAAAUUGGCAUCGUGAAUUUCAAACCCAAUCCUUUACAUGUUUCCUGUCUUGGUUGCGUGGCAGGAUGGGCUUCUCUGAGCUCUGCACCCUCUCUGCUCCUUCCCAUUCUCAAUCCUGGAAGGAGAUGAGAAUAUAGAUCUUUUAACACAAUAAUGCUGCAAAGGUCUCCAAGAACCUAUUAAUGUUGGUAAGACAGAAAUAGAUCUCUUUAGCCUCAGUCACAAGGUGUUGUGGCUAGAUGGAACCAGCGGCCCUGGGAAGAGGGCAGAGAGGUAGAAGAACGAGGCAGAAGAAAGGAGGAGGCAAAGAGGGAGAGAAGGUUCCCACCCAGAGAGCACAGGAAUAGUCAAGAUGUGUUAUACCAUCCUCUUGACUUUGAGGACAUUUGUGAUUGGCUGGCUAAUAAUAAGAUGGGGAGCUUCCUGGGAGUGGACUCUACCUGCUUGCUCUUCCAGGGGUUGUUGGGCAUAAGGCAGGGUUUUACUUAAAUGGCCACAUCAUCCUCACUUACCAGUGGCCUCUUUACCGAGUUCCUCUCUCCUCACUGAUGACCAAUCCUUGUCUCUUCUUUCUCUGCAAGGUCUUUCUGUCAUCUGUCUCAUUUCUGUUUUCACUGCUCUGUUCAUCAACUCCUGAUUCGCCUGCUGGAAAAACAUCUUACCUGGACUUCCUGCCUUUAUGACCUCUCAAAUGCAUCUCCUGUUCAUUUCCAACCAGAGGGAUCUUUCUGAAAAUCAGAUCUGAUCUGUGAAGGCCCUCUGGUAUUCAAAAGUCUUUGCUCGCUCCCCAUUGCCUACAAAAAUAAAGUCUCAGAUCCAAGAUCCUCAGGCCAGCAUUCAACUUAUCUCCCACUGUUAUCAUUCGUACAACUUAAACACUAAGACAAGUGUAGCUAAGCAAGUGUGGAAUGUUGGAUCAGAAGGAAAGGGGUUAGGGGUAACUGGACAAAUGGAGCAGUUUUGCAG
Long non-coding RNA from Equus asinus (donkey), 2249 nucleotides. Lineage: Eukaryota; Metazoa; Chordata; Mammalia; Perissodactyla; Equidae. The record is from Ensembl.